GACAUUGCCUUUGGAAUUUUGAUCCUUGUACUCUUCUCUCUGCGCUAUUACUGUAACAAUCUCUUCCACAUCUCAUCUCAUUCUACCAUUCUCUGCUCCCAGCUGCAAAUCAUUUCUUAAAACCAUAUACUCUUCUCUUCCCUGUGCUUUCUGCUCUUUUUGUCUGAAUACUGCUCAGGCAGAGCAGCUCUUGCAGAACAUCUUGAAUCCAGGUAAAGUAUUUAUACUUCAUCUUGUUGGUGUUUUUGAUUGUCACUUCCAGCUAUUGUUUGAAUCCUUUUAAGUAAAGGACAAGAAUCACUAUAGUUUCCAAAAAUAAAUCAAUCGAUCUUUCUCAGUUUUCAUAAUCCAUGUCUUAUGGAGUUAAUGUUGCGCACACUGAACCGAAAACAAACACAAAUAAAACACAAACAAGAAGAUUUACGUGGUUCUCCAAAACCGGGUACGUCCACGGAGGCAGCAGAUUGUAUAUUAUUGGAGGAAUGAUACAAACACUCAACUCAACCCAGUACAAUCCCACAAAGCCCAAUGUUUCACUCUUA
Molecule: long non-coding RNA, 542 nt
Organism: Populus euphratica (Euphrates poplar)
Lineage: Eukaryota; Viridiplantae; Streptophyta; Magnoliopsida; Malpighiales; Salicaceae
Exons: 2
Source: RefSeq, a predicted model, not a curated record